RNAcentral lists this long non-coding RNA (530 nucleotides) under Physcomitrium patens. RNAcentral describes it as "long non-coding RNA (PPAT_LNC012127)". The record is from RNAcentral. Lineage: Eukaryota; Viridiplantae; Streptophyta; Bryopsida; Funariales; Funariaceae.
UUGAUUUAGGAUUUAGGAUUUGAUUAGGGUUUGAUUUAUGAUUUAGGAUUUGGUUAGGAUUUGGUUUAGAAUUUAGGAUUUGGUUAGGAUUUGAUUUAGGAUUACGAUUUGGUUAGGAUUUGAUUUAGGAUUUAAGAUUUGAUUAAGAUUUGAUUUAGGAUUAGGAUUUGAUUAGGAUUUGAUUUAGAAUUUAGGAUUUGAUUAGGAUUUGUUAAGGGAUUAAUAUUUAGUUAGUUUUUGACCUAAAUUUUGAAUGAAGUCUAAUAGGAUUUUAACUAGGAUUAAAUUAAGAUUGAAUUAAGAUAUAUUUGAGAUAUAUUUGUAAUCAUUCAAAUAUUUUUUUAAGAUUUUUUAUUAUUUCUUUGUAAUUCUUUUGAGGUUUCUUUGAAUUUGAUUAAAGCUCCCUUAGCAUUAUUAUGGUCUAAUUAGAAUUUAAUUAGUAUUCUAUUAGAGUUAGGAUUUUGUUGUUGUAAUUUCCAUUCUACCUUCUACAACCAAGUAUCCAGAGCAUUCUCAAGCAAGACUACAUA